UCUCCCGUCUCAGUUUCGCUUCCGGUUACGCGUGUGCGCUUGGCGAACGCACAAAGAGAGGAUCCAUCACUGCCACGUUGUUUCAGAAGGGUGGCAACGAGUGAGGGGGCUUGACGUCUGCACUGGGGUGUUUCCUUUGCCCAGCUGCACCCUAUCCACAAUCACCUGUUCCUGCCCCUGCUAAUUACCAGCGGUAUUUAGGAUAACUCCUGACAUCCCGUCCCUGCCCAAUUGUUAGAUAGCCUCAACACACUUGCCCUGGGAGAUUCCCCAGUCUCACCUGGAUUAUCGGACAUGCCCUGCCACACCACCGGAAUACUCACCAGCUCCACCCACCUGGGAUAUCGGACAUGUUUCAUUACACCACUCGGAUUGCUCACCUGCUUCACUUACCUGGAACCUCCGACCCAUGACCCCGCUCCUCACUCCUUUUCAAUAAAUCCUCUUGAUUUACUUACUGGUCUGCGUUUGGUUUCCGGUCUCGAAAGCCUGACCUGGGGAGCACAAAAGAGCUGUCAAAAGACCUGCGUAACAAGGUAAUGGAACUUUAUAAAGAUGGAAUGCCAGUCAGUACUUCUUACGAAUUGGAAAA
Long non-coding RNA from Esox lucius (northern pike), 592 nucleotides. RefSeq lists it as uncharacterized. The transcript has 3 exons. The record is from RefSeq and is a predicted model, not a curated record. NCBI's taxonomy places the organism in Eukaryota, Metazoa, Chordata, Actinopteri, Esociformes, Esocidae.